RNAcentral lists this ribosomal RNA (497 nucleotides) under uncultured bacterium. RNAcentral's name for it is "partial 16S ribosomal RNA". It matches the Rfam family "Bacterial small subunit ribosomal RNA", at positions 28 to 507 of the family's 1533-position model. The record is from RNAcentral.
GACGAACGCUGGCGGCGUGCCUAAUACAUGCAAGUAGAACGCUGAAGAGAGGAGCUUACUCUUCUUGGAUGAGUUGCGAACGGGUGAGUAACGCGUAGGUAACCUGCCUUGUAGCGGGGGAUAACUAUUGGAAACGAUAGCUAAUACCGCAUAACAAUGGAUGACACAUGUGGUUUAUUUGAAAUGGGCAAUUGCUCCACGACAAGAUGGACCUGCGUUGUAUUAGCUAGUAGGUGAGGUAAUGGCUCACGUAGGCGAGGAUACGUAGCAGACCUGAGAGGGUGGUCGGCCGCACUGGGAGUGGGACACGCCACAGAGUCCUAGGGGUGCGAGCCGUACGGCAGCGGGGGCAAUGAGGGGAACAUUGAGCGAGCAGCGCGGAGUCAGUGAAGAACGUCUUCGCAUGGUAAAGCUCUGUCGUAAGUUAAGAACGGGUGUGCGCGUGGAACGUUGAGUGUGUGACGGUAGCGGAUAAGAAAGCGACGGCUAACUACGUG